AAUCAACGCUGGCGGCGUGCCUAACACAUGCAAGUCGAACGCGAAAGUGGAGCAAUCCAUGAGUAGAGUGGCAAACGGGUGAGUAACACGUGGGUGACCUGCCUUCGAGUGGGGGAUAACGUCCCGAAAGGGACGCUAAUACCGCAUGACAUGCUGUCUUUGAACAGAUGGACAUCAAAGCCGGGGAUCGCAAGACCUGGCGCUUGAAGAGGGGCCCGNGCCUGAUUAGCUAGUUGGUGGGGUAAUGGCUCACCAAGGCAACGAUCAGUAUCCGGCCUGAGAGGGCGGACGGACAC
Molecule: ribosomal RNA, 296 nt
Filed under: uncultured bacterium
Lineage: Bacteria
Description: partial 16S ribosomal RNA
Rfam family: Bacterial small subunit ribosomal RNA
Source: RNAcentral